This is a non-coding RNA of Paramuricea clavata, 435 nucleotides long. Lineage: Eukaryota; Metazoa; Cnidaria; Anthozoa; Malacalcyonacea; Plexauridae. The record is from the annotation of a GenBank genome assembly.
CUGGCAUUAGAUGAAGUGAAAUAAACUAGUAAAGUAGGGUGCAUUGGGGCACAAUGCAGCUUACUGGGUUAACUGGAAAAUAUAUUUAUUAAACAAUACACCCCCUAUACUUGUAUUUCAAUUCACAGCAUGAUUUGGUAUGCUUAUGUCUAUUUGACCCAAGUACCUGACAGGAAUGAUAUUUGAAUCACACCUGUAUUCAUUGAACAAAGCUAAUUUAAAUGUACAUUAAUUGUACAUGAACCAUGUAAAUGUAAAAACUAGCUAGAGCAAAAACACACCCACGCAGCUUUGUUUUUUUAUUUUUCUUGAGAAGGAAUAACUGAGUUACAAUGAGACCAGUAUCAACAAUUUCAAAAAGGUAUUGUACAAAAAUAUUACAAACAUAAGACACUUUAAAGACAGAAAAAACACAAAGUAUGUCACUACAGAAAC